Molecule: ribosomal RNA, 496 nt
Filed under: uncultured bacterium
Lineage: Bacteria
Description: partial 16S ribosomal RNA
Rfam family: Bacterial small subunit ribosomal RNA
Source: RNAcentral
GAUGAACGCUGGCGGCGUGCCUAAUACAUGCAAGUCGAGCGAACGGACGAGAAGCUUGCUUCUCUGAUGUUAGCGGCGGACGGGUGAGUAACACGUGGAUAACCUACCUAUAAGACUGGGAUAACUUCGGGAAACCGGAGCUAAUACCGGAUAAUAUUUUGAACCGCAUGGUUCAAAAGUGAAAGACGGUCUUGCUGUCACUUAUAGAUGGAUCCGCGCUGCAUUAGCUAGUUGGUAAGGUAACGGCUUACCAAGGCAACGAUGCAUAGCCGACCUGAGAGGGUGAUCGGCCACACGGGAACUGAGACACGGUCCAGACUCCUACGGGAGGCAGCAGUAGGGAAUCUUCCGCAAGGGGCGAAAGCCUGACGGAGCAACGCCGCGUGAGUGAUGAAGGUCUUCGGAUCGUAAAACUCUGUUAUUAGGGAAGAACAUAUGUGUAAGUAACUGUGCACAUCUUGACGGUACCGAAGCAGAAAGCCACGGCUAACUACGG